This 554-nucleotide ribosomal RNA is filed under the name uncultured bacterium. RNAcentral describes it as "partial 16S ribosomal RNA". It matches the Rfam family "Bacterial small subunit ribosomal RNA", at positions 356 to 901 of the family's 1533-position model. The record is from RNAcentral.
AGGGAAUCUUCCACAAUGGACGCAAGUCUGAUGGAGCAACGCCGCGUGAGUGAAGAAGGUCUUCGGAUCGUAAAGCUCUGUUGUUGGUGAAGAAGGAUAGAGGCAGUAACUGGUCUUUAUUUGACGGUAAUCAACCAGAAAGUCACGGCUAACUACGUGCCAGCAGCCGCGGUAAUACGUAGGUGGCAAGCGUUGUCCGGAUUUAUUGGGCGUAAAGCGAGCGCAGGCGGAAUGAUAAGUCUGAUGUGAAAGCCCACGGCUCAACCGUGGAACUGCAUCGGAAACUGUCAUUCUUGAGUGCAGAAGAGGAGAGUGGAACUCCAUGUGUAGCGGUGGAAUGCGUAGAUAUAUGGAAGAACACCAGUGGCGAAGGCGGCUCUCUGGUCUGCAACUGACGCUGAGGCUCGAAAGCAUGGGUAGCGAACAGGAUUAGAUACCCUGGUAGUCCAUGCCGUAAACGAUGAGCGCUAGGUGUUGGGGACUUUCCGGUCCUCAGUGCCGCAGCAAACGCAUUAAGCGCUCCGCCUGGGGAGUACGACCGCAAGGUUGAAACG